RNAcentral lists this ribosomal RNA (1600 nucleotides) under Hydrophasianus chirurgus (pheasant-tailed jacana). RNAcentral describes it as "16S ribosomal RNA". It matches the Rfam family "Bacterial large subunit ribosomal RNA", at positions 440 to 2850 of the family's 2925-position model. The record is from RNAcentral. Lineage: Eukaryota; Metazoa; Chordata; Aves; Charadriiformes; Jacanidae.
AGCCUAUUCUAGCCCAACCCCACAAUAUGACCAAACCGUUAAAAACUCACUAUCUAUCUACCAAACCAAACCAUUCACUUCAACUUAGUAUAGGCGAUAGAAAAGACCCUCCCUGGCGCAAUAGAAAUUCGUACCGUAAGGGAAAACUGAAAUAAUAAUGAAAAAUAAAGCAAUAGAAAGCAAAGAUAAACCCUUGUACCUUUUGCAUCAUGAUUUAGCAAGAACAACCAAGCAAAGCGGACUUGAGCUUGCCCUCCCGAAACUCAAGCGAGCUACUCGCAAGCAGUUAUUUAAUGAACGAACCCGUCUCUGUCGCAAAAGAGUGGGACGACUUGCUAGUAGAGGUGAAAAGCCAAUCGAGCUGAGUGAUAGCUGGUUGCCUGCGAAACGAAUCAAAGUUCUUUCUUGACCUUUCCCCCCAGGAAUCUAAUUUAACCUUAAUGUGGCAAAUCAAGAUUAAUUUAAAGGGGGUACAGCCCCUUUAAAAAAGAAUACAACCUUUAUUAGAGGAUAACUUCCCACUACCCCUAAAACCCUGUAGGCCCUCAAGCAGCCAUCAAUAAAGAAUGCGUCACAGCUCUUCACGUAAAAAUACAACAAUAAAAUGACUCCCUUUUUAUUAGCAGGCUAACCUAUAAUAAUAGGAGAAUUAAUGCUAAAAUGAGUAACCGGGGGCCUCCCCUCUCAAGCGCAAACUUACAUUUCCUAUAAUUAACAGACCAAACCAAUACCCUUAACCUCAACAAGCUUAAAAUAUUCACUCACACUGUUACCCCAACUUCAGGAGCGCGAAAUCAGAAAGAUUAAAAUCUGUAAAAGGAACUAGGCAAACCCAGGGCCCGACUGUUUACCAAAAACAUAGCCUUCAGCCAACCAAGUAUUGAAGGUGAUGCCUGCCCAGUGACAAUCGUUUAACGGCCGCGGUAUCCUAACCGUGCAAAGGUAGCGCAAUCAAUUGUCUCAUAAAUCGAGACUUGUAUGAACGGCUAAACGAGGUCCUAACUGUCUCUUACAGAUAAUCAGUGAAAUUGAUCUUCCUGUGCAAAAGCAGGAAUAUACUCAUAAGACGAGAAGACCCUGUGGAACUUAAAAAUCAAAAGCCAUUACACAUAUAUCAACAAACCUAUUAGGCCCACUACCACAAACACUGGCUUAUAUUUUUCGGUUGGGGCGACCUUGGAGAAAAAAAAAUCCUCCAAAAACAAGACCUUCCCUCUUAACGAAGAAUAACCCUUCAACGUGCUAAUAGCAACCAGACCCAAUAUAAUUGACCAAUGGACCAAGCUACCCCAGGGAUAACAGCGCAAUCCCCUUCAAGAGCCCACAUCGACAAGGGGGUUUACGACCUCGAUGUUGGAUCAGGACAUCCUAAUGGUGCAGCCGCUAUUAAGGGUUCGUUUGUUCAACGAUUAACAGUCCUACGUGAUCUGAGUUCAGACCGGAGUAAUCCAGGUCGGUUUCUAUCUAUGACAGACUUUUCCCAGUACGAAAGGACCGGAAAAGUAGGGCCCCUGCCACAAGCAUGCCCUCUCUUUAAGUAGUGAACUCAACUAAACUACCAAAGGACACCCUCCCCUAACCUAAUCCUAGAAAAGGACUA